UUAAGCGACUAAGCGUACACGGUGGAUGCCCUGGCAGUCAGAGGCGAUGAAGGACGUGCUAAUCUGCGAUAAGCGUCGGUAAGGUGAUAUGAACCGUUAUAACCGGCGAUUUCCGAAUGGGGAAACCCAGUGUGUUUCGACACACUAUCAUUAACUGAAUCCAUAGGUUAAUGAGGCGAACCGGGGGAACUGAAACAUCUAAGUACCCCGAGGAAAAGAAAUCAACCGAGAUUCCCCCAGUAGCGGCGAGCGAACGGGGAGCAGCCCAGAGCCUGAAUCAGUGUGUGUGUUAGUGGAAGCGUCUGGAAAGGCGCGCGAUACAGGGUGACAGCCCCGUACACAAAAAUGCACAUGCUGUGAGCUCGAUGAGUAGGGCGGGACACGUGGUAUCCUGUCUGAAUAUGGGGGGACCAUCCUCCAAGGCUAAAUACUCCUGACUGACCGAUAGUGAACCAGUACCGUGAGGGAAAGGCGAAAAGAACCCCGGCGAGGGGAGUGAAAAAGAACCUGAAACCGUGUACGUACAAGCAGUGGGAGCACGCUUAGGCGUGUGACUGCGUACCUUUUGUAUAAUGGGUCAGCGACUUAUAUUCUGUAGCAAGGUUAACCGAAUAGGGGAGCCGAAGGGAAACCGAGUCUUAACUGGGCGUUAAGUUGCAGGGUAUAGACCCGAAACCCGGUGAUCUAGCCAUGGGCAGGUUGAAGGUUGGGUAACACUAACUGGAGGACCGAACCGACUAAUGUUGAAAAAUUAGCGGAUGACUUGUGGCUGGGGGUGAAAGGCCAAUCAAACCGGGAGAUAGCUGGUUCUCCCCGAAAGCUAUUUAGGUAGCGCCUCGUGAAUUCAUCUCCGGGGGUAGAGCACUGUUUCGGCAAGGGGGUCAUCCCGACUUACCAACCCGAUGCAAACUGCGAAUACCGGAGAAUGUUAUCACGGGAGACACACGGCGGGUGCUAACGUCCGUCGUGAAGAGGGAAACAACCCAGACCGCCAGCUAAGGUCCCAAAGUCAUGGUUAAGUGGGAAACGAUGUGGGAAGGCCCAGACAGCCAGGAUGUUGGCUUAGAAGCAGCCAUCAUUUAAAGAAAGCGUAAUAGCUCACUGGUCGAGUCGGCCUGCGCGGAAGAUGUAACGGGGCUAAACCAUGCACCGAAGCUGCGGCAGCGACNGAAGGUGUGCUGUGAGGCAUGCUGGAGGUAUCAGAAGUGCGAAUGCUGACAUAAGUAACGAUAAAGCGGGUGAAAAGCCCGCUCGCCGGAAGACCAAGGGUUCCUGUCCAACGUUAAUCGGGGCAGGGUGAGUCGACCCCUAAGGCGAGGCCGAAAGGCGUAGUCGAUGGGAAACAGGUUAAUAUUCCUGUACUUGGUGUUACUGCGAAGGGGGGACGGAGAAGGCUAUGUUGGCCGGGCGACGGUUGUCCCGGUUUAAGCGUGUAGGCUGGUUUUCCAGGCAAAUCCGGAAAAUCAAGGCUGAGGCGUGAUGACGAGGCACUACGGUGCUGAAGCAACAAAUGCCCUGCUUCCAGGAAAAGCCUCUAAGCAUCAGGUAACAUCAAAUCGUACCCCAAACCGACACAGGUGGUCAGGUAGAGAAUACCAAGGCGCUUGAGAGAACUCGGGUGAAGGAACUAGGCAAAAUGGUGCCGUAACUUCGGGAGAAGGCACGCUGAUAUGUAGGUGAGGUCCCUCGCGGAUGGAGCUGAAAUCAGUCGAAGAUACCAGCUGGCUGCAACUGUUUAUUAAAAACACAGCACUGUGCAAACACGAAAGUGGACGUAUACGGUGUGACGCCUGCCCGGUGCCGGAAGGUUAAUUGAUGGGGUUAGCGCAAGCGAAGCUCUUGAUCGAAGCCCCGGUAAACGGCGGCCGUAACUAUAACGGUCCUAAGGUAGCGAAAUUCCUUGUCGGGUAAGUUCCGACCUGCACGAAUGGCGUAAUGAUGGCCAGGCUGUCUCCACCCGAGACUCAGUGAAAUUGAACUCGCUGUGAAGAUGCAGUGUACCCGCGGCAAGACGGAAAGACCCCGUGAACCUUUACUAUAGCUUGACACUGAACAUUGAGCCUUGAUGUGUAGGAUAGGUGGGAGGCUU
Molecule: ribosomal RNA, 2089 nt
Filed under: Escherichia coli
Lineage: Bacteria; Pseudomonadati; Pseudomonadota; Gammaproteobacteria; Enterobacterales; Enterobacteriaceae
Description: 23S ribosomal RNA
Rfam family: Bacterial large subunit ribosomal RNA
Source: RNAcentral